UCCGGGGCGACACACGUGUUACAAUGGUAGGUACAGAGGGGCGCUAUCCAGUGAUGGAGUGCGAAUCUCAAAAACCUAUCUCAGUUCGGAUUGGAGUCUGCAACUCGACUCCAUGAAGUUGGAUUCGCUAGUAAUCGCGCAUCCAGCCAUGGCGCGGUGAAUACGUUCCCGGGCCUU
RNAcentral lists this ribosomal RNA (177 nucleotides) under uncultured Rikenellaceae bacterium. Its description in RNAcentral is "partial 16S ribosomal RNA". It matches the Rfam family "Bacterial small subunit ribosomal RNA", at positions 1207 to 1382 of the family's 1533-position model. The record is from RNAcentral. Lineage: Bacteria; Pseudomonadati; Bacteroidota; Bacteroidia; Bacteroidales; Rikenellaceae.